GAGUAACACGUAUCCAACCUGCCCUUUACUCGGGGAUAGCCUUUCGAAAGAAAGAUUAAUACCCGAUGGCAUAACAUGACCUCCUGGUUUUGUUAUUAAAGAAUUUCGGUAGAGGAUGGGGAUGCGUUCCAUUAGGCAGUUGGCGGGGUAACGGCCCACCAAACCUUCGAUGGAUAGGGGUUCUGAGAGGAAGGUCCCCCACAUUGGAACUGAGACACGGUCCAAACUCCUACGGGAGGCAGCAGUGAGGAAUAUUGGUCAAUGGGCGAGAGCCUGAACCAGCCAAGUAGCGUGAAGGAUGACCGCCCUAUGGGUUGUAAACUUCUUUUAUAUGGGAAUAAAGGGUGCCACGUGUGGCAUUUUGUAUGUACCAUAUGAAUAAGGAUCGGCUAACUCCGUGCCAGCAGCCGCGGUAAUACGGAGGAUCCGAGCGUUAUCCGGAUUUAUUGGGUUUAAAGGGAGCGUAGGUGGACAUGUAAGUCAGUUGUGAAAGUUUGCGGCUCAACCGUAAAAUUGCAGUUGAAACUGCGUGUCUUGAGUACAGUAGAGGUGGGCGGAAUUCGUGGUGUAGCGGUGAAAUGCUUAGAUAUCACGAAGAACUCCGAUUGCGAAGGCAGCUCACUGGACUGCAACUGACACUGAUGCUCGAAAGUGUGGGUAUCAAACAGGAUUAGAUACCCUGGUAGUCCACACAGUAAACGAUGAAUACUCGCUGUUUGCGAUAUACAGUAAGCGGCCAAGCGAAAGCAUUAAGUAUUCCACCUGGGGAGUACGCCGGCAACGGUGAAACUCAAAGGAAUUGACGGGGGCCCGCACAAGCGGAGGAACAUGUGGUUUAAUUCGAUGAUACGCGAGGAACCUUACCCGGGCUUAAAUUGCAAAUGAAUAUGCCGGAAACGGCAUAGCCGCAAGGCAUUUGUGAAGGUGCUGCAUGGUUGUCGUCAGCUCGUGCCGUGAGGUGUCGGCUUAAGUGCCAUAACGAGCGCAACCCUUAUCUUCAGUUACUAACAGGUCAUGCUGAGGACUCUGGAGAGACUGCCGUCGUAAGAUGUGAGGAAGGUGGGGAUGACGUCAAAUCAGCACGGCCCUUACGUCCGGGGCUACACACUUGUUACAAUGGG
This 1121-nucleotide ribosomal RNA is filed under the name uncultured bacterium. Its description in RNAcentral is "bacterial SSU rRNA". It matches the Rfam family "Bacterial small subunit ribosomal RNA", at positions 108 to 1234 of the family's 1533-position model. The record is from RNAcentral.